CCUACGGGAGGCAGCAGUCGAGAAUCAUUCACAAUGGGGGAAACCCUGAUGGUGCGACGCCGCGUGGGGGAAUGAAGGUCUUCGGAUUGUAAACCCCUGUCAUGUGGGAGCAAAUUAAAAAGAUAGUACCACAAGAGGAAGAGACGGCUAACUCUGUGCCACCAGCCGCGGUAAUACAGCGGUCUCAAGCGUGGUUCGGAAUCAUUGGGCGUAAAGCGUGCGUAGGCUGUUUCGUAAGUCGGGUGUGAAAGGCGCGGGCUCAACCCGCGGACGGCACAUGAUACUGCGAGACUAGAGUAAGGGAGGGGGAAGCGGAAUGCGCGGUGUAGCAGUGAAAUGCGUAGAUAUCGAGAGGAACACUCGUGGCGAAGGCGGGUUGCUGGACAUUAACUGACGCUGAGGCACGAAGGCCAGGGGAGCGAAAGGGAUUAGAUACCCGAGUAGUC
RNAcentral lists this ribosomal RNA (446 nucleotides) under uncultured bacterium. Its description in RNAcentral is "partial 16S ribosomal RNA". It matches the Rfam family "Bacterial small subunit ribosomal RNA", at positions 338 to 795 of the family's 1533-position model. The record is from RNAcentral.